This 506-nucleotide ribosomal RNA is filed under the name uncultured bacterium. RNAcentral describes it as "partial 16S ribosomal RNA". It matches the Rfam family "Bacterial small subunit ribosomal RNA", at positions 28 to 523 of the family's 1533-position model. The record is from RNAcentral.
GAUGAACGCUAGCUACAGGCUUAACACAUGCAAGUCGAGGGGUAACGAGAGGAAAGCUUGCCUUCCUUGUCGACGACCGGCGCACGGGUGAGUAACGCGUAUCCAACCUGCCCCCAACUAGGGAAUAACCUUGCGAAAGUAAGACUAAUACCCUAUAAUUUCCUCAGAUGACAUCUGACGAGGAAUAAAGAUUUAUCGGUUGUGGAUGGGGAUGCGUCUGAUUAGCUUGUUGGCGGGGUAACGGCCCACCAAGGCAACGAUCAGUAGGGGUGCUGAGAGGAAGGUCCCCCACAUUGGAACUGAGACACGGUCCAAACUCCUACGGGAGGCAGGAGUGAGGAAUAUUGGGCAAUGGGCGGAAGCCUGAACCAGCCAAGUAGCGUGCAGGAUGACGGCCCUAUGGGUUGUAAACUGCUUUUAUACAGGAAUAAAGUUAGCCACGUGUGGUUAUUUGUAGGUACUGUAUGAAUAAGGACCGGCUAAUUCCGUGCCAGCCGCCGCAGUAA